RNAcentral lists this ribosomal RNA (465 nucleotides) under Vreelandella stevensii. RNAcentral's name for it is "partial 16S ribosomal RNA". It matches the Rfam family "Bacterial small subunit ribosomal RNA", at positions 338 to 795 of the family's 1533-position model. The record is from RNAcentral. Lineage: Bacteria; Pseudomonadati; Pseudomonadota; Gammaproteobacteria; Oceanospirillales; Halomonadaceae.
CCUACGGGGGGCUGCAGUGGGGAAUAUUGGACAAUGGGGGGAACCCUGAUCCAGCCAUGCCGCGUGUGUGAAGAAGGCCCUCGGGUUGUAAAGCACUUUCAGUGAGGAAGAACGCCUGGUGGUUAAUACCCAUCAGGAAAGACAUCACUCACAGAAGAAGCACCGGCUAACUCCGUGCCAGCAGCCGCGGUAAUACGGAGGGUGCGAGCGUUAAUCGGAAUUACUGGGCGUAAAGCGCGCGUAGGUGGCUUGAUAAGCCGGUUGUGAAAGCCCCGGGCUCAACCUGGGAACGGCAUCCGGAACUGUCAAGCUAGAGUGUAGGAGAGGAAGGUAGAAUUCCCGGUGUAGCGGUGAAAUGCGUAGAGAUCGGGAGGAAUACCAGUGGCGAAGGCGGCCUUCUGGACUGACACUGACACUGAGGUGCGAAAGCGUGGGUAGCAAACAGGAUUAGAUACCCCUGUAGUC